RNAcentral lists this ribosomal RNA (575 nucleotides) under Lactiplantibacillus plantarum. RNAcentral's name for it is "bacterial SSU rRNA". It matches the Rfam family "Bacterial small subunit ribosomal RNA", at positions 60 to 599 of the family's 1533-position model. The record is from RNAcentral. Lineage: Bacteria; Bacillati; Bacillota; Bacilli; Lactobacillales; Lactobacillaceae.
CGACGAACUCUGGUAUUGAUUGGUGCUUGCAUCAUGAUUUACAUUUGAGUGAGUGGCGAACUGGUGAGUAACACGUGGGAAACCUGCCCAGAAGCGGGGGAUAACACCUGGAAACAGAUGCUAAUACCGCAUAACAACUUGGACCGCAUGGUCCGAGUUUGAAAGAUGGCUUCGGCUAUCACUUUUGGAUGGUCCCGCGGCGUAUUAGCUAGAUGGUGGGGUAACGGCUCACCAUGGCAAUGAUACGUAGCCGACCUGAGAGGGUAAUCGGCCACAUUGGGACUGAGACACGGCCCAAACUCCUACGGGAGGCAGCAGUAGGGAAUCUUCCACAAUGGACGAAAGUCUGAUGGAGCAACGCCGCGUGAGUGAAGAAGGGUUUCGGCUCGUAAAACUCUGUUGUUAAAGAAAGAACAUAUCUGAGAGUAACUGUUCAGGUAUUGACCGGUAUUUUAACCAGAAAGGCCCCGGCUAACUACGUGGCCGGCACCCGCGGUAAUACGUAGGUGGCAAGCGUUGUCCGGAUUUAUUGGGCGUAAAGCGAGCGCAGGCGGUUUUUUAAGUCUGAUGUGAAA